GCCUUAUAGUGGGGGAUAGCCUUUCGAAAGGAAGAUUAAUACCGCAUAAGAUUGUAGUAUCGCAUGAUAUAGCAAUUAAAGGAGCAAUCCGCUAUAAGAUGGACCCGCGUCGCAUUAGCUAGUUGGUGAGGUAAUGGCUCACCAAGGCGACGAUCCCUAGCUGGUCUGAGAGGAUGACCAGCCACACUGGAACUGAGACACGGUCCAGACUCCUACGGGAGGCAGCAUG
RNAcentral lists this ribosomal RNA (229 nucleotides) under uncultured bacterium. Its description in RNAcentral is "partial 16S ribosomal RNA". It matches the Rfam family "Bacterial small subunit ribosomal RNA", at positions 128 to 353 of the family's 1533-position model. The record is from RNAcentral.